UACGAAGGGGGCUAGCGUUGCUCGGAAUUACUGGGCGUAGAGCGCACGUAGGCGGCUUUCUAAGUCGGGGGUGAAAUCCUGGAGCUCAACUCCAGAACUGCCUUCGAUACUGGAGAGCUUGAGUCCGGGAGAGGUGAGUGGAACUGCGAGUGUAGAGGUGAAAUUCGUAGAUAUUCGCAAGAACACCAGUGGCGAAGGCGGCUCACUGGCCCGGUACUGACGCUGAGGUGCGAAAGCGUGGGGAGCAAACAGGG
Molecule: ribosomal RNA, 254 nt
Filed under: uncultured bacterium
Lineage: Bacteria
Description: partial 16S ribosomal RNA
Rfam family: Bacterial small subunit ribosomal RNA
Source: RNAcentral